AGGAAAGUUCCUCAGUCAACGAAC
Molecule: small RNA, 24 nt
Filed under: Arabidopsis thaliana (thale cress)
Lineage: Eukaryota; Viridiplantae; Streptophyta; Magnoliopsida; Brassicales; Brassicaceae
Source: RNAcentral